Canis lupus familiaris (dog) is the source of this 82-nucleotide non-coding RNA. The record is from Rfam. Lineage: Eukaryota; Metazoa; Chordata; Mammalia; Carnivora; Canidae.
GCCUGGGUGGCUCAGUGGUUGAGCAUCUGUUUUUGGCCCAGGGUGUGAUCCCAGGUCCUGGGAUCGAGUCCCAUAUCAGGCU